GAGAAACAGGACUAGCGGAUCCUCCCCUGCACGCGGGCUGGAGGCACACCGCUCCUCUGCCGUCCUUCUCGGCUGCUCUGGAGACACGGGUCCUGGGCAGGCGAGCCAGCACCUGGCUAAUCUGAAGUAACAGCAGGUCAGUGGGCAGGGUGGGGUCAGACCCAGGGCGAGCGAGGACGACAGCCCCGCUUGAGGGUGACGCUCAGGAAAACGUGAGUGUGUCGGCUCCGGGUGGGCAUCCAGGACUUUACAUCUUAAUGGCAAUGGGCCCCUGGCACCCCGGGGCCACCAUGCACAGCUGUGUAGGCUGUGCACUACACAAGAGUACUGUGGCAAAAUAUCAUAGAUUUGCACAUUUAUUGCAACAACUUUCCUGCAGCCAAGCUGUUUCUUUCUGUUAAAGCCAGAAUAUCGCCACCAUUUUCCAACAUGGAAGUGUCUUGAAAAAAGGCAUCUUUUUCUAAAUCUUGCAGUGAUGCUGUAUGAAUAGCAGCCACCCCGCUUCCACCCGACCUGAGCAGGCGGCGUAACAUGAACACAUGCUAAUGCAUUCCCACCUCCUGACGCAUGAACUGUGAUCCAUGCUGCCUGCAGAUUAUAAACCUCACUCCCACUGCAGGUCUCUUGCUUUCCUUGCACUUCGCCCGCUCCUCCCCCAGGCCCCAUUACCAGACCUUGCUUGUCCUUCUACGCGUUCAUCUGAACCAACACCCAUGCCUUAGAGUCUCUUUGCACUCUAGGUACAAGCCUCAAACCAGAAUUCAGAGUCCUUUUGGGCUUCAGCUAAACCCACAGGGGGACAACCCAACGAGGCCAGUCCCUGGCUGCUGGGCUGUUUGUGGCCAGGCAGACGAGGAGUCCUUCGAUGCAGAGGGUGCCCCGGUAUCCUGUCCGUGGUUCUACCCUGUGGUAGAACAGCAUGACGUAACCUACCAUAGGGUAAAACCACUGGCAGGACACAGAGAGACGGACACACACAGGGCGGGAGCCACACCAGAAGCCCACCAAGCAGAGCCUGGAGAGGAGGUCACCACGGUCACCACGGGAAAGACAGCCAUCGAUCCACGGGGGCCAACACAGAGGGCAAAGCCACCAACGAACAGAGGACCAGCAGCAAGUUAACCCACCACCAAGCGAGAUGUCCCCACUCCGAGAUAGGGGAUCAAGUUCUCAGUGCAGACUGGGAGCUGCCUGGCCGGCCCCUCCGGAGCCACACACAGGCAUGAGGAUGAAUGGAGCUCAGUCUCGGCUUGAGAAAACAUUGGUGGAGCUCAACUGCCAACGAACCCCCUUUCACGGCCACCCUCCACCCCCCGCUGAAAGGACAGAGAAACUUUCUUUCCAAGGUGGCAGCACAAGCAACUCUUCCAAAGAGACCCUCCAAGUCAAAGUUCUUCCUCUGCAGGCCCAGAAUGAUGCUGCUAAAAUGAGAGGCAGGUAAGCUGAACAAAAGACCAAGCAGACGUGAACUCCGGGAUCUUCCCUUUCACAUACCAAGCAUCUUGGUCAACCUACAGGACCUACGUGGUACUUGUUAGAGAAGAAAAAAGAUCCCUUUAAUGGAUUCUUUUUUAACUUGAGAAGUUGGAUAAGCAGGAAGACAGAAUCAUGUGAGACUCCUAAAAUGUGUCCUUGUCGUGAAGUCAAAGGACCACCCAAGCAAAUGGCAGGUAAGGUCUUUGGGGCCCAGCUCAUGAAGAACAAUUUCUGAAACGCAGAGGAUGACCAGAUCCCAUCCCAUUUUGAAACAUGCCAGAACCGGAUGCCAGGCAUGAUUGAAAGGGGUUAUAGAGUGGGAGGCCUGGCAUAAGGACUCAGGCAGUGCUGCACCUGGUGGACCACCAGGGCAUUUCAGCUGCUCUUUCUUGUGACAGGGAUUAAAUGUUGUGGACCAGCUCACAAAGUUUCCAACCUCCAAUCCACCACGUCCUAUGAGGGUUCUACACAGAUCCCAAGCUCCAUAUUCAAGGUGCUCUGAGAAAAUGCAGAGUUCCAACUUGGGAAUCCUACUCUUUCCUCCUCAAAAGGCCGUGUGUCUGGGCUCCCUCCAGCCACCAUGUUACUGGUGGAAGCUCUGAUGGAGUGGAGACUCAAAAGGUGGGGCUAAGAGGGUUCACAGUACGGGAAACCAUAGACAGUUCAUUUGGGACCACUAUGAAUUCUGGAGUAGAACAUUUAAAUGCUAUUCUGUAGAUAAUGACCACAAAAGUUUUUGAGCCAGUGAUAAAAAAUGACAGUAAUUGCCCUAACCGGUUUGGCUCAGUGGAUAGAGCGUCCGCCUGCAGACUCAAGGGUCCCAGGUUCAA
Myotis lucifugus (little brown bat) is the source of this 2306-nucleotide long non-coding RNA. RefSeq lists it as uncharacterized. Lineage: Eukaryota; Metazoa; Chordata; Mammalia; Chiroptera; Vespertilionidae. The transcript is spliced from 3 exons. The record is from RefSeq and is a predicted model, not a curated record.